UACAGAGGGUGCGAGCGUUAAUCGGAAUUACUGGGCGUAAAGCGCGCGUAGGCGGCUUUGCAAGUCGGGUGUGAAAUCCCCAGGCUUAACCUGGGAACUGCAUUCGAGACUGCAUUGCUAGAGUAUGGGAGAGGGAAGUGGAAUUUCCGGUGUAGCGGUGAAAUGCGUAGAUAUCAGGAGGAACACCUGUGGUGUAGACAGCUUACUGGACCACUUCUGACGCUGAGACACGAAAGCGUGGGUAGCAAACGGG
RNAcentral lists this ribosomal RNA (253 nucleotides) under uncultured bacterium. RNAcentral's name for it is "partial 16S ribosomal RNA". It matches the Rfam family "Bacterial small subunit ribosomal RNA", at positions 524 to 776 of the family's 1533-position model. The record is from RNAcentral.